Long non-coding RNA from Thamnophis elegans (Western terrestrial garter snake), 1269 nucleotides. RefSeq lists it as uncharacterized. The record is from RefSeq and is a predicted model, not a curated record. NCBI's taxonomy places the organism in Eukaryota, Metazoa, Chordata, Lepidosauria, Squamata, Natricidae. The transcript is spliced from 4 exons.
CCCGGUGCAACCGGUACAGUGCAGUGGAGCCAGGCGUCCACAACAUGCACAGCGCCCGCAUGCGUACUUACUGCCCACGAUGCUCUGUGUCACUCCAGCUGCUCAGCGGAGCGUCACGCAGAUGCCAUACACUCUGUGCACAUAAGCCCCAAUCGGCUCAAAUACAGGAAGCUGUUUAACGAAGAAACUGGAUUGGAAUGACGUGUAGUCUGCUGGUAGUUCCACUAGAGGUCAGACAUCAUACAAUCAAUAUGAAAAAUACUUAGAUUUGUCAUUUCCAGAUUUCUUCUUAUUCCAGAUCUGUGGGUGGUUCUGCUGUAUCGGCUUCCACAGUCCAAAGGCCACCCUUAAACCUUCAAAAGUAGGAAGAAUAUCUGAAGGACAGUCAGGAAGAUGCACUAAAGUUAAUUAUCAUGAAGAUUUACUGAAAAUGAAAGAGAUCAAACUAGCCUAUAAGAAAGACCAAAUAAAGUAUAGAAAAUAAACAUGGCAAGGCAAAAUUCUACAUGGUUAACACAUUAAAAAAUAAACAAGCAGGCAAAGAAGAUAACAAGAUCUGGCAAUGAUCAGCAGGAAAGCUGAAGAAAAAGACAAAGGGGCUAAUUCUGUUUGCACAAGACCAAAUGUAUACAAAACCAGAAUUAAGAAGACUGCAACAGAUAGCAAAUGUCCUUGCAAAAAAACUGAAGCAAUCGUGGGCCAUCUAGCUAGCUGCUUGCAAGACGAUUACACAGACUGAUUAUAAACAAUGGCAUGACAGUAGCGCAUUGGGAUAUCUGCAAGAAAUUGUACUUUCCUGCAAGAAAGAACUGGUGAGAAUAUAAAGUAAUAAAAAAAUGAAGAAUUAAAGUGCUUUGGGAGUUUAGAAAUCAAACAGACAAGCAUUUGCUUUAAUAUGAUAUAACAACACCUGCCUGUCCCAGGACCCUAAGAAAGACUUGAUAAGUGGACAAGAAUGCAAAAUCAAACAUAACUCCUUAAUCAAUGGCCGAUGAUCAUUGAUGUUGCUGCAAUCCACCUUAUUUUCCCAUUCGUCUGGCAGACGCGCGGCUAGGUCCUUGUUCUCUGGUCUCCUGCCCUUCCGGAAGGGGAAAACGAUGCUUCCUGUCUUGUGAUUGAGUAUUUUGUUGUUUCUCUUGUCCUUCUCUUUGUCUUUCUCCAAGUCCAGGUGAUUCAGGAUGUCCCGCCUUCAGGACCUUAUGAUAGAAAUCUCGGGCUUCCCCUACGGAGUUGAGACAAUAUUUUUGCUCACCGAAUGUAAUUAUAAUA